AGCGCCGGGGCCUGGGGGCGGCUCCGGGGAGGCGGCGCCGGUGCCAGGUUACCGGCUGGGGGAUUCGGAGGGUCGCGGGCCUCGUACCCACGGCAGUGCGAACGCCCAUCUAGGCUCACCAGGCCGGGCCACACCGCGGGCCCGCCCCGCGGGCACACGCUUCCUUCCUGUCCGCGCCCGAGCUGCGGGCGGGCGGCGCCCCGGCCUGGGGCCCGCGUCACGCCGGGGCCUCAAUAAAGGGCUUUGUGGUCCCGGCCCCGCCCGCGAGGGGUCGGGGCGCCGGGCUUGGGAUGCGCGCCCCGCGAGGUCCCGUCGGACACAGGCCCCCUGGUGAGACAGCCAGGACCGGGACCACGCUGGACGGAACAAAGGCCACGAGCCAAAGACAGGGCUGUAAGCUGGCCUUUCCAUGAAAAUGACACUUUUAAAUGUAAUGAGGUUGUGUUGAAGCCAUUUGGGGACUGAUUUGGGGACCAUUUGGGGGGCCACUUAAAGAAAUGUGCUGGGUUCUGACCUGUUCGCUGUGUGCCGUUCUCACCGGUGACGCUUGAGCGGCAGCGUUGUUGUCAUUGCUACUGUUCACACCCUCUGGAUGAAAUCUGGAGCAGUGAGGAUCCGUGGCUGGCUCUCAGGUGCGCAGCAACAGGUGGUGUUGAGCACUUUACACCAGAAGAGCUCAGCCCCGGACACCUACACAUGAAUUGCUCUAUUGUGCAAGCCAGAAGCAUUAAUCCUAAGAGCAAGAAGAAAGAUCUUUACACACCUUAAUAUGUGAGUCCUUUGGGAUGUUACAAUGUUGCCCUGUAAAGUCUAAUUAAAACGAAGGAUUUAUCUGCC
RNAcentral lists this long non-coding RNA (837 nucleotides) under Equus caballus (horse). RNAcentral's name for it is "lncRNA (ENSECAG00000050750.1)". The record is from RNAcentral. Lineage: Eukaryota; Metazoa; Chordata; Mammalia; Perissodactyla; Equidae.